This 250-nucleotide ribosomal RNA is filed under the name uncultured bacterium. Its description in RNAcentral is "partial 16S ribosomal RNA". It matches the Rfam family "Bacterial small subunit ribosomal RNA", at positions 524 to 773 of the family's 1533-position model. The record is from RNAcentral.
UACAGAGGGUGCAAGCGUUGUUCGGAAUUAUUGGGCGUAAAGCGCGCGUAGGCGGUUACGAAAGUCUGAUGUGAAAGCCCGAGGCUUAACCUCGGAAGUGCAUCGGAAACUGCGUGACUUGAGUCUCGGAGAGGGUGGUGGAAUUCCAGGUGUAGAGGUGAAAUUCGUAGAUAUCUGGAGGAACAUCGGUGGCGAAGGCGACCACCUGGACGAUGACUGACGCUGAGGUGCGAAAGCGUGGGUAGCAAAC